GUUGGAGUUUGUUGCUUGUGCUGUGAAGAGAGUUGCAGUUGUUGGCUGUGCAGAAGAAGGAGUCAGUGCUGUGAGGAGAUGCCUAUGAGAAAUCACCGAGAAGCAGAUAUCUUGUAAAGCUCCCUAGAGCACAGAAACGUCCUUAGCAUGUCACUACUGGGGAUUAUCAGGAAUAGCAGUUGAGAACUGACAGGAUGACCACAAGUAGGAGAACUGAGACCAUGACAAGAGAAAGACACCAUAGAAGAGAAAAGCAAAAAAAAGGAGAAAGCAGCUCUCAUCUGGGUGGAAAAGGCAAGUGUCCUAGAGCCUCACUGCCACCUCUAAGCCCCAAGGAAGUGCUUCAGGAAAGCAACUGUGUUCCUAAUGCUGUGAAGUCUUCAGAGUGCUGUCCAACGUGCCCAGCCAUCCAGCAGCCACAAUGUUCAUCCUUCAAAGGCAGCAUUCUCAAACCCCACUGGCAGAACCUCAGGUACCCCUGCAAGGGGAAUGAGUGACCCUCAUCUGUGCACACAGGGGAUGCUGAAGUGAAACCAGGACAUGCAAUUUGUCCUGUGCCACACGGCAAGCCUGGCAGUGGCAUGAGGUUCCUACUUUCUAACAACUCAGUCCUGGUUUCUAAGCAAUAACCCAAGCUUCCCCUCUAUUCAGCAACUUAAACUACUGCAAAGGAUUAAGUAGGCACUUAACACCAUAUUGAACAGGAGCCAAAAGAAUUCAUUUCACAGGAGAGAAAGAAACAGGCACAAAGAAUUAAACAAGUCAGGGAGUGAAAAAGCUGUGUGCUGAUUAAAAGACAGAAACGACCUACACUAAACUGCUAAAGCUUGUCGUUGUCAAAUCUAGCCUUCCCGUGCUCCUUCCUCUGCCCUGAUUUGUGAUACUUUGCAGACCAAAAAGACUCUUUAAAUAAGGAAAAAACUUCCCAUAGUACAGAGUGCAAAUCA
Molecule: long non-coding RNA, 947 nt
Organism: Zonotrichia leucophrys gambelii
Lineage: Eukaryota; Metazoa; Chordata; Aves; Passeriformes; Passerellidae
Exons: 4
Source: RefSeq, a predicted model, not a curated record